UAUAUUAUUCUCACAAGACAGUUCAUACCUUUUGUCACCGCUUCUCUGGAUCACGUUUCAGUCGAAAAGGGUAGCUUAUGUUUUGGAUUUCGCCACACGAUGAAGGUUCACACCUAUGAUGAUCAUCAUCCUUGGCACUGAAAGUUCCACAGUACAAGCCAAGAACUGUUACAAGGACUAUGAGUCGUGAUGGAACUGAUACUCUUCCUGCAGCCAUUGCAAGACGAGAUUAGGAGAAAAAGAGAGUGGGAGGUUUCCAGCACAACUGCAGCUUCCUUUGUUACAGACAAGGAUCCUUUGAUUAUAUUACAACACUUUGAUUAUUUUAUACUAGCAUACUUUGAUAUUAUGAUAUUUUUGAUUCAUCGACUUUGCUAAGUCG
RNAcentral lists this long non-coding RNA (382 nucleotides) under Prunus persica (peach). Its description in RNAcentral is "long non-coding RNA (PPER_LNC001889)". Lineage: Eukaryota; Viridiplantae; Streptophyta; Magnoliopsida; Rosales; Rosaceae. The record is from RNAcentral.